GAUGAACGCUGGCGGCGUGCUUAACACAUGCAAGUCGAACGAAGCUGCUUAAAGGAAGUCUUCGGAUGGAAUUUAGGUAGACUUAGUGGCGGACGGGUGAGUAGCGCGUGGAUAACCUGCCUUAUACAGGGGGAUAACGGAGAGAAAUUUCCGCUAACACCGCAUAAGACCACAGCACCGCAUGGUGCAGGGGUAAAAUAUUUAUAGGUAUAAGAUGGAUCCGCGUCCGAUUAGCUAGUUGGUGAGGUAAAGGCCCACCAAGGCGACGAUCGGUAGCCGGCCUGAGAGGGUGAACGGCCACAUUGGGACUGAGACACGGCCCAAACUCCUACGGGAGGCAGCAGUGGGGAAUAUUGGACAAUGGGGGAAACCCUGAUCCAGCGACGCCGCGUGAGUGAAGAAGUAUUUCGGUAUGUAAAGCUCUAUCAGCAGGGAAGAAAAUGACGGUACCUGACUAAGAAGCCCCGGCUAACUACGUGCCAGCAGCCGCGGUAAUACGUAGGGGGCAAGCGUUAUCCGGAUUUACUGGGUGUAAAGGGAGCGCAGACGGCAAUGCAAGUCUGAAGUGAAAGGCGUGGGCUCAACCCAUGAACUGCUUUUGGAAACUGUAUAGCUUGAGUGUCGGAGGGGUAAGCGGAAUUCCUAGUGUAGCGGUGAAAUGCGUAGAUCUUAGGGAGGAACACCGAGGGGGAAGGGGGCUUACUGGACACAACUGAUUUUAGGCUCGAGGCGGUGGGAGAUACAGGUUAAUACCCCAUGUCCAAGGGCAAUUCCCAUUGGAUGUG
Molecule: ribosomal RNA, 785 nt
Filed under: uncultured Lachnospiraceae bacterium
Lineage: Bacteria; Bacillati; Bacillota; Clostridia; Lachnospirales; Lachnospiraceae
Description: bacterial SSU rRNA
Rfam family: Bacterial small subunit ribosomal RNA
Source: RNAcentral